This 253-nucleotide ribosomal RNA is filed under the name uncultured bacterium. Its description in RNAcentral is "partial 16S ribosomal RNA". It matches the Rfam family "Bacterial small subunit ribosomal RNA", at positions 524 to 776 of the family's 1533-position model. The record is from RNAcentral.
UACGAAGGGGGCUAGCGUUGCUCGGAAUCACUGGGCGUAAAGGGUGCGUAGGCGGGCUUUUAAGUCAGGGGUGAAAUCCUGGAGCUCAACUCCAGAACUGCCUUUGAUACUGAAGAUCUCGAGUCCGGGAGAGGUGAGUGGAACUGCGAGUGUAGAGGUGAAAUUCGUAGAUAUUCGCAAGAACACCAGUGGCGAAGGCGGCUCACUGGCCCGGUACUGACGCUGAGGCACGAAAGCGUGGGGAGCAAACAGG